GGGAGUUAAAAGAAGUGAAAAUGCUGACAUGAGAAACGACAAGGCGGGUAAAAACCCCGCACGCCGGAAGACCAAGGGUUCCUGCGCAACGCUAAUCGGCGCAGGGUGAGUCGGCCCCUAAGGCGAGACCGAAAGGUGUAGUCGAUGGGAAACGGGUUAAUAUUCCCGUACCUUGGAUAGCUGCGAUGGAGAGACGGAGAAGGCUAGGUGAGCCGGGCGACGGUUGUCCCGGUUUAAGCGAGUAGGGAGUGGACUUAGGCAAAUCCGGGUCCACAAUCCCGAGACGUGACGACGACUGCUCAUAGAGCGGGAAGUCAUUGAUGCCAUGCUUCCAGGAAAAUCUUCUAAGCUUCAGGCUAUUCGAGACCGUACCCCAAACCGACACAGGUGGUCAGGUAGAGAAUACCAAGGCGCUUGAGAGAACUCGGGUAAAGGAACUAGGCAAAAUGGUGCCGUAACUUCGGGAGAAGGCACGCUGGCAGUAAGUGAAGCCCCUGCGGGUGGAGCUGAGACCAGUCGAAGAUACCAGGCCCCUGCGACUGUUUAUUAAAAACACAGCACUGUGCAAACACGAAAGUGGACGUAUACGGUGUGACGCCUGCCCGGUGCCGGAAGGUUAAUUGAUGGGGUUAGCGCUUGCGCGAAGCUCUUGAUCGAAGCCCCGGUAAACGGCGGCCGUAACAAUAACGGUCCUAAGGUAGCGAAAUUCCUUGUCGGGUAAGUUCCGACCUGCACGAAUGGUGUAACCAUGGCCACGCUGUCUCCACCCGAGACUCAGUGAAAUUGAAAUCGCCGUGAAGAUGCGGUGUAUCCGCGGCUAGACGGAAAGACCCCGUGAACCUUUACUAUAGCUUCACAGUGAACUUUGAGCAUGUUUGUGUAGGAUAGCUGGGAGGCUUUGAAGUGGGAACGCCAGUUCUCAUGGAGCCAACCUUGAAAUACCAGCCUGACAUGUUUGAGGUUCUAACUUGGUCCCCUUAUCGGGGAUGAGGACACUGUGUGGUGGGUAGUUUGACUGGGGCGGUCUCCUCCCAAAGUGUAACGGAGGAGCACGAAGGUGCGCUAAUCACGGUCGGAAAUCGUGAGGUUAGUGUAAUGGCACAAGCGCGCUUAACUGCGAGACUGACAAGUCGAGCAGAGACGAAAGUCGGUCAUAGUGAUCCGGUGGUCCCGAGUGGAAGGGCCAUCGCUCAACGGAUAAAAGGUACGCCGGGGAUAACAGGCUAAUGACUCCCAAGAGCUCCUAUCGACGGAGUUGUUUGGCACCUCGAUGUCGGCUCAUCACAUCCUGGAGCUGCAGAAGGUUCCAAGGGUUCGGCUGUUCGCCGAUGAAAGUGGUACGUGAGCUGGGUUUAGAACGUCGUGAGACAGUUCGGUCCCUAUCUACUGUUGGUGUAAAAGAAUUGAAAGGAACUACUCUUUGUACGAGAGGACCAGAGUAGAUUGACCAAUGGUGUAUCGGUUGUCAUGCCAAUGGCAUCGCCGAGUAGCUAAGUCAGUACAGUAUAACUGCUGAAAGCAUAUAAGUAGGAAGACAACCUUAAAACUAAUUCUUUAAUUGAGUCGUGCAAGACUAGCACGUUGAUAGGCUAGAAGUAAAAGCAUGGUAACAUGUUUAAC
Molecule: ribosomal RNA, 1620 nt
Filed under: Palpitomonas bilix
Lineage: Eukaryota
Description: partial Bacterial large subunit ribosomal RNA
Rfam family: Bacterial large subunit ribosomal RNA
Source: RNAcentral